RNAcentral lists this ribosomal RNA (509 nucleotides) under uncultured soil bacterium. RNAcentral describes it as "bacterial SSU rRNA". It matches the Rfam family "Bacterial small subunit ribosomal RNA", at positions 26 to 519 of the family's 1533-position model. The record is from RNAcentral.
AGAUUGAACGCUGGCGGCAGGCCUAACACAUGCAAGUCGAGCGGUAGAGAGGUGCUUGCACCUCUCGAGAGCGGCGGACGGGUGAGUAAUGCCUAGGAAUCUGCCUAGUGGUGGGGGAUAACGUUCGGAAACGGACGCUAAUACCGCAUACGUCCUACGGGAGAAAGCGGGGGACCUUCGGGCCUCGCGCCAUUAGAUGAGCCUAGGUCGGAUUAGCUAGUUGGUGAGGUAAUGGCUCACCAAGGCGACGAUCCGUAACUGGUCUGAGAGGAUGAUCAGUCACACUGGAACUGAGACACGGUCCAGACUCCUACGGGAGGCAGCAGUGGGGAAUAUUGGACAAUGGGCGAAAGCCUGAUCCAGCCAUGCCGCGUGUGUGAAGAAGGUCUUCGGAUUGUAAAGCACGUUUAAGUUGGAGGUAAGGUUGUAAACGUUAAUACGUUAGACUAACUUUGACGUUAACCGACUAAGAAUAAGCAACCGGCUAACCGUUCGUGCCAGCAGCCGUA